Molecule: ribosomal RNA, 273 nt
Filed under: uncultured bacterium
Lineage: Bacteria
Description: partial 16S ribosomal RNA
Rfam family: Bacterial small subunit ribosomal RNA
Source: RNAcentral
UACGGAGGGUGCAAGCGUUAUCCGGAUUCACUGGGUUUAAAGGGUGCGUAGGCGGGUUUGUAAGUCAGUGGUGAAAUCCCGAAGCUUAACUUCGGAACUGCCGUUGAUACUACAGGUCUUGAAUACUCGGGAGGUGAGCGGAAUAUGUCAUGUAGCGGUGAAAUGCUUAGAUAUGACAUAGAACACCGAUUGCGAAGGCAGCUCACUACAGAGUCAUUGACGCUGAGGCACGAAAGCGUGGGGAUCAAACAGGAUUAGAAACCCCCGUAGUCC